AACGAACGCUGGCGGCGUGCCUAAUACAUGCAAGUCGAACGUGAAAGUCCUUCGGGAUGAGUAAAGUGGCGCACGGGUGAGUAACACGUAGGUGAUCUACCUAGAAGAUCUGGAUAACCCGGAGAAAUUCGGGCUAAUACGGAGUAAGUUCACAUAAUUGAAAAGUUGUGAAGAGAGAUGGCCUCUACUUGUAAGCUAUCGCUUUUAGAGGAGCCUGCGUAGCAUUAGCUAGUUGGUGGGGUAAUGGCCUACCAAGGCGACGAUGCUUAGCUGGUCUGAGAGGAUGAUCAGCCACACUGGAACUGAGACACGGUCCAGUCUCCUACGGGAGGCAGCAGUAGGGAAUAUUGCGCAAUGGGGGAAACCCUGACGCAGCAACGCCGCGUGAGUGAGGAAGGCCUUAGGGUUGUAAAGCUCUGUCAGUAGGGAAAAAUGGCCAGCGGGCGAAUAGGUCGUUGGAUUGAUGGUACCUACAAAGGAAGCACCGGCAAACUUCGUGCCAGCCGCCGCAGUAA
This 515-nucleotide ribosomal RNA is filed under the name uncultured bacterium. RNAcentral's name for it is "partial 16S ribosomal RNA". It matches the Rfam family "Bacterial small subunit ribosomal RNA", at positions 29 to 523 of the family's 1533-position model. The record is from RNAcentral.